CACCUCUUCUAUGAAAUCAAUAUACGUAGUCCCCCUUCUAGUCGCUAGGUGGCACCACAGCUUUAAAGCAGAGCCAAAAAACUGUGGAAUAACUUACCAUGGACGGUAUAUUCGCCAUCUAUGGUCUUAACCUCAUUCCUCUUUUUGUGCUUUGGUGGCACAUGUUCAUUUUUAUUCGGCGUCGGUGUUUUCAGCUUUUUUCAGCGUUUUUGGAAGUUAAAUGGAGAAGUACAAGUGAGAUUUACGUUAUUCCUUAUCGGAUGAAGAAAGAACCUACCUACGACGAAAGAUUAAAUCUUUCCAUCCGCGAUUACAUAAUCGCUAGUGGCGUGGUUCCCAUCAACGAGAUUUUCUUACAAUUGGGAGACGAUUUCUUCAUCGUCCGGGUUCCGAUCGGAAUCCCCAGAACUCGAAAGACCCCCCAUCUUUCCCACUUAUACGACAGCAGUCGUAUGUAAGUGUUUCACAAUUGGAAGCAAUCCUUUUGUGAGGGGGUCGGCCAUACAUAUGGUUUUAUAUUUUUUCGACAUCGAAAAAAUAGAGUUUUCUGGCUCGUCCGGCUAUGGAUGAGGCGCCCGGGAUACUGGGACAUAAUGAACAAUUUUUUAUGGCUGUUGGAAUGCAUUUACUCCAUCGUAAGUAUAUUUUUUAGGCCCUUCAAUUAAUUCUGAUGUCAUUGUUGAGCCCCUUGAGACGGAUUUAAAGCAAAAUGGCCUUUAAGCUAUGGGGUCGAUAGUCCCAACACAAAGUUUGAUGUGUCAUGACAUUUUGGCAAGUCAGAUUAAUACCUUUUUGAAAUCCGGUGUGUCCGAAGAUUGUCUCAGUGACCUUUUGCGUUGAUAUCCUGUGCCGAAGAAUUGCCGCUCAAUAACUCUCCUAAAUUGAAUGUGCAGAUGAAAUCUGCCAUCAACAAAGGUGGAAAGAAAAGGGAUGAGAGACUGACUGCAACAAGGGGUGCUUUGAUGGUGGUUGGUAGGACGCUCUUGACCUUGCUUUUGAAACCGGUUAAGGAUGAGUAGUACUUACUUCUCAUCGAAAUGUUGAGUAAUGCAAUAUUUGUUUUAAGCAAAAUACACCAUUUAGGUUCAGUAUAUAGAAGUUCAGCCGCGUUAAGCCUUUCGCUGGUCUCAAAUGAAAUGCAGCCUUAUAUGAAGGAAGUGCUCGUUGAUGCUUCUUUGCACUCUUGUUUAUAUGGAGAAGAUUUGGCUGAUAGGCUCAAAUCAAUCAGAUUAGCUGCAGAUUAGUGGCCGAGUUAAAGUCAGGUGCAUCCGGAACAAGGCUUUUAUAGCAUACAAAUUUAAACUCGACCGUCCCACUUCGUUCCCGGAAGUUGCAAGGCUGAAGUGGGUGAAAGUCAUUGUACCCUCAAAAGAGGGAAUACAGGAAGGUUCGAGAGGAAAGGGGGUGGAGUUGUGUCCCCAGGAAAAAAUAAUCCGGAGGCAUCUAAUGAAGACUCGUUUACUGUUUUUUGGAGCGACAGUUUCUUCUAUGUUUUCCCCCCGUUUUGCUUGUUGCCACUUGUUUUACGAAAAAUCAAGGCUGAUUGAGCUACAGGGAUCGCAGUAAUCCCUUACGGGCACAGCCAGCAUUGACAAAUUACCUUCUUCUUUUGACAGGAGAGGUCACCCUUUGUGGAAAUCCCUUACCCUGGCUGCAGGGAUUUUGUCAGGCAAGCAUUCCAGAAGAUUUGCUGGAUAUUUUUCUAUCAUCUGUUCAGAGCGCUACCUUGAGGCAUUUAAUACCUGCAUGCAUUUAAACUUUGGUGGAGCUUUUGCGAAAGGAGGG
Molecule: long non-coding RNA, 1785 nt
Organism: Cylas formicarius (sweet potato weevil)
Lineage: Eukaryota; Metazoa; Arthropoda; Insecta; Coleoptera; Brentidae
Exons: 3
Source: RefSeq, a predicted model, not a curated record